CGGCACGGGUGAGUAACACGUAUCCAACCUGCCGUCUACUCUUGGCCAGCCUUCUGAAGGGAAGAUUAAUCCAGGAUGGCAUCAUGAGUUCACAUGUCCGCAUGAUUAAAGGUAUUUUCCGGUAGACGAUGGGGAUGCGUUCCAUUAGAUAGUAGGCGGGGUAACGGCCCACCUAGUCAACGAUGGAUAGGGGUCUGAGAGGAAGGUCCCCCACAUUGGAACUGAGACACGGUCCAA
This 237-nucleotide ribosomal RNA is filed under the name uncultured bacterium. RNAcentral's name for it is "partial 16S ribosomal RNA". It matches the Rfam family "Bacterial small subunit ribosomal RNA", at positions 100 to 334 of the family's 1533-position model. The record is from RNAcentral.